Molecule: ribosomal RNA, 507 nt
Filed under: uncultured Glomeromycotina
Lineage: Eukaryota; Fungi; Glomeromycota
Description: SSU rRNA
Rfam family: Eukaryotic small subunit ribosomal RNA
Source: RNAcentral
AGCAGCCGCGGUAAUUCCAGCNCCNAUAGCGUAUAUUAAAGUUGUUGCAGUUAAAAAGCUCGUAGUUGAAUUUCGGGAUCAAUGCGUCGGUCGUGCCUCGGUACGUACUAACGAUAUUGAUUUCUCCCUUCUGACGAACCGUGAUGUCAUUAAUUUGGUGUUACGGGGAGUUAGGACUGUUACUUUGAAAAAAUUAGAGUGUUUAAAGCAAGCAAUCGCUCGAAUACAUUAGCAUGGAAUAAUGAAAUAGGACGUUCGAACCUAUUUUGUUGGUUUCUAGGAUCGACGUAAUGAUUAAUAGGGAUAGUUGGGGGCAUUAGUAUUCAAUUGUCAGAGGUGAAAUUCUUGGAUUUAUUGAAGACUAACUACUGCGAAAGCAUUUGCCAAGGAUGUUUUCAUUAAUCAAGAACGAAAGUUAGGGGAUCGAAGACGAUCAGAUACCGUCGUAGUCUUAACCAUAAACUAUGCCGACUAGGGAUCGGAUGAUGUUAAUUUUUUAAUGACUCA